CUUCUGCUGCUAGAAGUGAACAGAAUCACUUCUGAUUUAACCCCGUGUCUCCUUUGACAUUCCUCUGGCCAACUUGGUCUUCAAAGCACAAGGAUUUAGAAGAUGAGAAGGAUUUUCCAGACAUAAAGGAAGAAAAGAAGAAAUCAAGAGCUGUAAACAAGGGGGACAAAGAAGCUAAGACAGUAUCCUUUGUAUUUCUAAGUGGCCUUCACUUCCUGGUGUCAGAAGAACAAACCCCUGUGCCAGAUGCUCCAGAUUCGAGCACUGGGAGGAUGAAAAGGCAAAUCGACGCCUUGCUAUGAUUUGCUCAAUUAACCCGGACGAGAUGAACAGACUUCCCCUAACAGGCUUCCAAGGCAUGUGAUCUCCAGCCAUCACGAAGGCUGAACAUUAACUGGUAAAUAAGGCUAGAAAAUUCAUGCUGGAGACAUUAAGUUUUGAUCUACGAUAACCAAGGCUUCGUUCACCAUCACUACCACAGGAUGGCCACAGAACAGGAUUUCAGAGGGUAAUGACUUUUGUUUUUGUCUUCAGGGAAAUGAAUUUACUCAUUUUUACAGGCAACUGGCUUGGUUCCAAUCGGUUUUGUCCUCUUAUACAACUUUGUCUUCUCCAUUUUUUUCUCUUUUGUGAUCAGCAAGAGAAUAUUCACUAUUGAAGAACCAUCCAUAACCAGCCACAGCGUCCUCUCUACCGUCUUCAUUUGCCUUGACCUCAACAUCCCAUAACCAAAUCUUAACUCCAUGUGCUGGAGCCCUGUCUCCCAUUUCUGUUUUCUUUCCUGCUGUUUCUUUUCUUUCAUAAUCUCCUGUCAGAGUACUCCUCAUGUCCCUCCCUAUUCCCCAUCCUCUGACAGUUUACUGAGUCUUCUACAAAACCACCGAUAAGAGUCUCUGUGGAGAAUUCUUGUCACUCUAAGGCACUUUGGAUUAAAGUAACCAAGGGUUCCAUCACCUACUAAAUCUAAACCUGCAUAUAUCCUCUGACUCAGUAAUUCCACUCUAGGGUACAUAUAGUAAAGAACUGAGUGUCUAUGCACACCCAGCACAUGUACAAGAAUGUUCACAGCAGCUUUAUUCAUAAUAACCCAAAGCUAGAAACAACAAAAUGUCCAUCAACAACAAAAUGGAUAAAGUAUGAUACAUUUACACAAUGGAAUGAUACACACCAAAGAAAAAGAAUGCAUUAUCGCUAUACACAACACCAUCCAUGGAUGAAUCUCAAAGACAAUGAUGAGAAAAAGGAGCCAAAACCCACAAAUGUCUCCUGCUAUCCAUCCCCCCCCCCCCCC
Leopardus geoffroyi (Geoffroy's cat) is the source of this 1291-nucleotide long non-coding RNA. RefSeq lists it as uncharacterized. The record is from RefSeq and is a predicted model, not a curated record. Lineage: Eukaryota; Metazoa; Chordata; Mammalia; Carnivora; Felidae. The transcript is spliced from 3 exons.